Molecule: long non-coding RNA, 3219 nt
Organism: Sorghum bicolor (sorghum)
Lineage: Eukaryota; Viridiplantae; Streptophyta; Magnoliopsida; Poales; Poaceae
Exons: 6
Source: RefSeq, a predicted model, not a curated record
UUUGGACCGUUCUUGAGUUCAAUCCACAAUAGAGUUUUUAUGGCCCACGGAGGACGGAUCGCUGGCGGAGCCGUGCGCUUGCACUCGCGGCACGGAAAAUCACAACGGCGGCGGCGGCGACAGCGGCGGCGAGGUUUCUCGGGGCGCCCCGUGCGUCGAUGCGGCCGCACGCCUCCCCUUCCGAUUCUCGAGCGCCUGCUUCAGAAGCACUUCCGAUUCUCGAGCCACCUCUUCCAGUUGCACGCGCUCCUCCUCUGCCCUCCGCCGAUCCCCAAUGCUCCGCCGCCGCCACGGCGCCACCAGCGCCUUCCCUAUGCCUGGCCCACGCGCACUUUUGCGUCCUCUCCCGCCCCGGGCUCGGCCACUGCCGCGGGGGCGCUCGCUCCACGCGCGGUGCCUCCACGGAGAUGUUGAGCUUGCUGUAGUGAUUGUGCGGAAACUGAUGGCUCUUGACCCCCAGCAAUCACGACGCUGGGGCGAGGUGAUGCUGGAGGUUGGAAUCAAGAAGACGACGGCAGCGCAGUGCGCAGAGUAGUGUUGUGUUUUACACUGCUGCCAUCCCUUCGUAACUGUUCGUAAGUGCUUCUGAAGAAAAGGAGAGAAUUACACUGCUACAUUUAGAUAACAAAGAAUCAAACUGGCAUUCGGUGGAUCAGAUUGCCUGCAGGCAUGAGUGGAUUGGAUCAUUGGAUGCCAUCAUGCCAAAUGGUGUGCUAUCUGCCUUCACCGUCUAAAGCAGACAGAGUCAGAUGCGAUCGGAGGUACCUUGAUGUAGGCAUGAGUUCCAACUCCAAGCAUUGCUACUCUAGUUCAGGUAGAAGCCAACCAGAGUAUAUUGAGGGAUUUGACAUCACCAUGGAGAAUUGUACGAGAAGUUGAUGAAUGAAUAUAAGCAAGAGCUUCUGCUGAUUGUGUAGCAAUCUUCAACCUAAGAUCCAAUGGGGCUGAUAAUCUUUGGUCAUUUUCAUGAAGGAACUCAAAGAGGGUACCACUGGAAAUGAACUCAUACACCAACAUCGGUACAUCUACCUCCAAGCAACACCCAAGUAACUUGACAAUGUUCCUGUGAUUGAUUUGUGACAAUAUUAUUAUCUCGUUCACAAAUUCUUCUCGGCAGUCAUCAUCUAUUACUUUGGACUUCUUUAUGGCAACUUCUUUUCCAUCAUCUAAAAUUCCUCUAUAGACUGUUCCAUGACCACCACAUCCAAGAACACGAUUGUCGCUAUAGUUCUCUGUGGCUUGCUUAAUCUCUGUCUCAGUAAGUAUAAGAAUAGUAUCAACUUGUCUUGAUCUCAUUUCGUCAUAUAACCUCAGGCCACCAUUUUGUUUGAAGUAUUCAUCCUUCUCCUUCAUGUGCUUUCUCCGUUGUAAUUUCAUAACUAACAAGCAUGUCACAGACGUCACCACAAGUGCAGAAACACAGAGGCCUGCACAACCACUUUAUUUUAGAUUCAACGCAUCAAAAGCCUAGAAAGGGACCUGCUAUGGCCUUAGAGUUAUAAACUUUGCUUUCAGAGGCUUUUUAGAUUCUUACCUAUAAUCACUUGUUCAGACUGCCUAAGAACAGGCUGGCAUCCAGAAUUUCUACCAUCUGAUUUUGUUCCUAUCCUGCAUCUGCAUACAUAACUGCCUGGAGUAUUGAUACAGACCCCUUUUUUGCAUGGAUAUAAUGCACUGUACUUCGGGUCUUGAUUACGCAUCUCGCACUCAUUUAUAUCUGAAGAGAAUUAAAAUGGAUUAACAUAUAGUGACAAAAAAGGGGGUCAAAGGAUGAGUUACUUCAAUCAAUAUCGUAAAGAUAUGCAGAAAAGCAAAAGAAAACUUGAGUUGUAUUGGUUGGUUAAACAUGUUUCUGUAUUUUGUGAUGUUGAUGUCCAAAACCUAGUUUACAGCAACUUUGUUUUAAUAAAUCAUACCUUGGCAGCCUUCACGAAGAUAAGGAUUUCCCUUGUAACCUUUGGAGCAGCUACACAGGAGCCAUUUCUAAUGGCCCAAUCACUAAUGACCGGUACACCUCUACUGGCUCUUUCGUUUACGAACCCAAGGUGCCCAACAAGGUCUUGUCUCCUGAAGCUGUACCACCCAACCUGGACAAGCAUCGCGUAUAUGCAUGGGUUGAAGCUCGGUAACAAGGUAACAUUCGCCACUGCCGCCUGGAAGGCAGUAAGGUUGGGUGAGAUGGCGGUUUCACAGCACCCCUUCCCACUGCACGGUGCUCCAUCUGAUGUCUGGUUGAUGCCCUCGCAGUAUGAGAAGCAUCCAGCCACAGAAGGUUCAGGGUCACUGGCUCCGAUGAGCCCCAGGGCGCUGCAGCCAAUGGCCAUGAAGCGGUUUCGUGUGCUUGAGAGGAUGAGUGGUGUGCCUUCCAGGCUAAACUCGCCGGUGUAGUUGUCCAGAGUAUUGGUGUUUGGCUCGAAGCAGCUAUAGCCGACGGGGGCAUAGAUGCUCACCUCGCCACGCUCCAGGGAGAUGUCGAUGACCUCCAUUGGUGUUGAAGUGUUGCUGGCAGGGGCAUAGAUCAUAGGCCGUGGUGGCUGGAAGGUGUUGUUGCAGGUCACGGCAAAGCUGGGGUUCCGACUUGUCGCUGCACAGCCAUCGCCUAUGCCGAAGGGGUAAGGGAUGGUCACGUCGCCACACUUGUCGGGACACCCUGGCAGUGAUAGAGCAGGCUCAGAUGGAGUGGCUGAUGACAGCGCUGCUGCCUUCACUGGGGAGAUGAUGAGCAUCAGGAGUACUACUAAUGCUUCUUUCAUGGCUAAUAAUGAGUUGAGUUCUUGGAAACUUCAAAAUCAAAGGGUUGGGUCUGCUUCAUGGUAAGUCGUGUGGCCCCUUAUAGAUUGCCGGAAUCUGGAGAAGGCAGCAUCCGGUUUUGAGGUUUAUUUAUUCUGAGAAAGCGAUAGUCCUUGUUUUCUUACCUCAUUUAUAUAUGAUCAACUAUAUAUGAAGCGUGGUGGAUCUUGUUGAGUAGUUGGUACAGUUUGUGAAACCUUGCUCUGGACUGACAAACUAGAGGAAGAACACACAGUUUUGGAUCUGCUUGACGAGAGAUUUAUAUUUAGACGGGAGGCAAGAAAUUUGUAGUGUUUUGGUGGGACAUUUUUCUAUUACAUAUUUAUCCUUUGUACCGUAUUGUACGAGCAUGUUCGCUUGGGCCACAUCGAAUCUUGUGGCACAUGCAUGAAACAUUAAAUAUAGACGAAAACAAGACGAAUCUUUUAA